AAAAGAGGUUCCCUUUGGGAGGUGACAGCGUGCUGGCGGUCCUCACAGCCCUCGCUCGCUCUCGGCACCUCCUCUGCGUAGGCUCCCACUUUGGCGGCACUUGAGGAGCCCUUCAGCCCAUCGCUUCGCUGUGGGAGCCCCUUUCUGGGCUGGCCAAGGCCAGAGCCCACUCCCUCAGCUUGCAGGGAGGUGUGGAGGGAGAGGCCCGAGCAGGAACCAGGGCUGUGUGCCGUGCUUGCGGGCCAGCUAGAGUUCCAGGUGGUCGUGGGCUUGGCGGGCCCUGCACUCAGAGCAGCCGGCCGGCCCUGUUGGCUCCAGGCAAUGAGGGACUUAGCACCCGGGCCAAUGGCUGCGGAGAGUGUACUGGGUCCCCCAGCAGUGCCAGCCCACCGGCACUGCGCUGGAUUUCUCGCUGGGCCUUAGCUGCCUUCCCGUGGGGCAGGGCUCGGGACCUGCAGCCCGCCAUGCCUGAGCCUCCCAACCCCUCCGUGGGCUCCUGUGCCCCCGAGCCUCCUCCACGAGCGCCACCCCUUGCUCCACGGCACCCAGUCCCAUCGACCACCCAAGGGCUGAGGAGUGCAGGCGCAGGGCGCGGGACUGCCAGGCAGCUCCACCUGCAGCCCCCGUGCGAGAUCCACUGGGUGAAGCCAGCUGGGCUCCUGAGUCUGGUGGGGCCUUGGAGAACCUUUAUGUCUAGCUCAGGGAUUGUAAAUACACCAAUGGGCACUCUGUAUCUAGCUCAAGGUUUGUAAACCCACCAAUCAGCACCCUGUGUCUAGCUCAGGGUUUGUGAGCACACCAAUGGAGACUGUAUCUAGCUGCUCUGGUGGGGCCUUGGAGAACUUUUAUGUCUAGCUCAGGGAUUGUAAAUACACCAAUGGGCACUCUGUAUCUAGCUCAAGGUUUAUAAUCAGCACCAAUCAGCACCCUGUGUCUAGCUCAGGGUUUGUGAGUGCACCAGUGGACACUCUGUAUCUAGCUGCUCUGGUGGGGCCUUGGAGAACCUUUGUGUUGAUACUCUGUAUCUAACUAAUCUGAUGGGGAGGUGGAGAACCUUUGUGUCUAGCUCAGGGAUUGUAAACGCACCAAUCAGCGCCCUGUCAAAACAGACCACUCGGCUCUACCAAUCAGCAGGAUGUGGGUGGGGCCAGAUAAGAGAAUAAAAGCAGGCUGCCCGAGCCAGCAGUGGCAACCACCUCGGGUCGCUUUCCAUGCUGUGGAAGCUUUGUUCUUUCGCUCUUUGCAAUAAAUCUUCCUACUGCUCACUCUUUGGGUCCACACUGCUUUUAUGAGCUGUAACACUCAGCGCGAAAGUCGGCAGCUUCACUCCUGAGCCAGCUAGACCACGAACCCACCAGAAGGAAGAAACUCCGAACACAUCCGAACAUCAGAAGGAACAAACUCCAGACGCGCUCCCUUAAGAACUGUAACACUCACCGUGAGGGUUCACGGCUUCAUUCUUGAAGUCAGUGAGACCAAGAACCCACCAAUUCCGGACACACCUUGAGGUGGGCACUGUGAGGCAGCCCACUCUUGCUGAGAAGGGAAAACACGUCCAUGAUCCGCCUGAGCAGAGCCCAGGAUGUCCUUCCCUGCCUGGAUUCAGGCCCUGGCCGGACUGGAGUCCCUCUAGGCCCUGGACCUUUGCCCAAUAACAAUGGAAAUAAAUCAGGUACUAAUAUUCCUCUAAUUAUUCUCUGAGGGGUGGGAAUCAACAUUGAAGUGGGAACUUAGCAAACCAAGAGGACAGCCCCCCAUCUCUGUGUGUGACUUCGGCCAAGUGGCUUUCCCUGACCAGGUCAGUCUUCUGGUUUGUGCAAUGAGAAAGUCCCACCCUCUAAUGUUUAAGACUAGGGCAUUCAGGUCAGCAAUCAUCACUACACAGUCACAACCACAACAUAUCACAGCAUCUUCUAGGGUCUGUAAAAGCAUCCACAGUCAUCACAUGCUUCCACAGGGGCCCCCUGCUGAACGAGAGCCAGAAGAGAACUCUUAGCUUCCCUGACCUCUCUUUCAUUCAUACGCUGGAGGUGAAAGUUCUCACAUGAGCCCAUAAACAAGACCUCUUGCUUUGUCACAGGUUCAAGUUCACUCUGCCUCUUACCAGAUUUCCUUUUCUCAUGGUUUUUGCAUGGUCUGCUUAGUAAAACUUUGUACCUUGACAGAGCUCUGUAAUUGCAGGAAUCUAUAGAAUGUUCACUCUGGUGGAUUUAAAUAUGGCGGCAGAAUCUUUGACACGCAUCCCAUUGAGAGCUUCCCCCAGGUUCUGGAACACUCGUUCUAGGAGCCUUUCACUGCUAUACAUAAAGUCUGACUGCCCAGAGUCUGCCAUGCUAGACAGACCAUCCAGAAAGACAACAUAGACAGAAAGAUGCCAGUGAGCCCAGCUACUCCAACCGCCAAUCAUUUGAGUCAUCUCAGCCCAGGCCGCAGACAUGGAAGUGAAGAAGGCUUCAAGGUGUUCCAGUGUAAUGUACAAUUGCCUAAUGAACCUUUAAAAUAAAAUGCUGCCAAUGAGAACUGAGUUUGCCUCUCCUAUAAAGAAAAUGAACUCCAUCAGGCUGGCAAACAGGAACCUCAGCAUCCUAGAUAUUUUUAAUAUGAUGGCUUUCUUACUGCAAUUUCUGCGGGGAAUAAUAUAUAGGGAAAUAAUGUUUCUCCUUUGUGAUUACAUUACCAUAUGGAGUAAUUUUUCUUGACAAGGAGGUCAUUUCAUCUGAUGAGUUCUUGAACAGUGAAAUGGAAGCUUGGUUCUAUGACAGCAAAGGACAGAUUGACUUAUUAAAACCGUUACAUUACAGAUUUUUAUUAGUCGAUUUCCCAUUUGCUCUCUUUGAAAAUCAAAAGCAUGGAUGCAUUUGGAAAGUCCAUCAGAAAAUAUUAAGAAUAAAAAUUAGACAGAAUGGUCAUUAUUGUAAAUGGAAAAAUCAUCUGAAAACUAAGGAUUCUAGAGGCCAACUUUAAGAAUUCUCACGAAGACAUUAUUUGGAGAGCAGAACAGAUGGGGUAUAUUAAUGGAAGAACCAGCCUCACAAGAUAAACAGCCAAAGUUUUAGAAAAAUCACCCAGGCAUCUGAAUUCAAGGCAGGGUGCAAUGGACUGAACAAAAUUAAUUGUCCUAGACACCAAAAACACAGAGGAAAAGUGGCCUAAAUCUAGGAGAGACUUCCAAAGCACUCUGAGAAAUGUUGCUUUACUUUUUCAUCAAAACACCUUUCAGAAGCUGGGUUUACUAUGCGUGUACUCAUAUUUAUUCCUUUUGAUUCAUUCAUUCAUUCAUUCAUUCAGCAAGCCUUGACUGACCCCAUCAAUGUGCCAGGACCACAAAAAACAUCAUGACGUGACUCGUGUUCCCGACUAGUUCAUGAUCUGGUAGGGGAGACAAUUGAGUCAAUACUAUCUACCUGCCGGUGUGUUAAGUUUUGUUUAAGGAAAUGUAUGGCUCAUUCAUCCACUCAUUUGAUCAAUAUUUGAUGAGUAUCUAUUCUGUUCUAAGUUUUUACUCAGCACUGGGGACUCAAGAGCAUGUUUGGGUAGCUAUAAUUUAACAGACAUAUGAUAAACAAAUACAUAGAGAAAGUCCAAUUGUGUUUCAAGUUGCAAAUUAGGCACAUGCAGCUCUUUUCCGCUACACAUGGUUCUAAGUGCAGAGGAAAGAGUCGAGCCUCUGAAGCAUCACCUCUCAGCCCACUGAUAUCUGAAGCUCCUUUCUCACUCAAAGAUACUCUUAGAAUAAAGAGACCUUUUUUAUAUGCUUGGUAUGGGCUGUGAUGAAGUAACCAAGUGUUCUGAACAGUGGCCUUGAAGUGCCUCACAAUCAAAGGCCUCCCCAGGCCCCACUCCUGCCUUCUGAGUAAUGACAGAAAGUGCCAAAUUCGAUCCAAAUACAUGUGGAGGCAGGGGUGGGCAGCUGACUCAGCCACCACCCUGACACACUCUAUGAUCUGUCUUCCUACUGUAGGCUCUCAACGUAAAAUCUCUAAGAGCAGAGUCCCCAUCUGUUCUUAUCACUCUACACCCAAAAUCCAGCACAGUGCCUAGAACAUGGAAAGUGAUCAAUAAAUACAUGUUAAAUGAACAACUAGAAAACAACAUAAUUAGGAUAAGAAAAGUGCUAUAAAAAUAAAUAGAUCAUCUGAUAGCAAAUUACACUGUAGGGAAAGGGCGGAUAUAAAAAAGAGUUAACAAAGCAGUCUUGAAGGUCUGUGUGAGACCUCCAGGGUAUCUAAGGUUUACAAGGUUGGCCCUUGGCUGGUGUAGUGGUUUUCUGGGGCUGCCAUUACAAACUGCCACAAAAUAGGUGGCUUAAAAUAACAGAAAUUGACUCCCACACCGUUCUGGAGGCUGGAAAUCCCAAAUCCAGCAGGACCUUGCUUCCUUUGCUUCCUCAGGGAGCUCUAGGGGAGAAACUGUCCCUUGCCUCUUUCAGCUUUUGGCAACCCCAGGCAUUCCUUGACUUGUGGCAGCAGCAUUCCCAUCUCAGCCUCCAUGGUCACAUUGUCUUCUCCUCUUCUGUCUGCCAAAUUGUUCCUUAUAAGGGAUACUUGUCUCUUAUGAGGACACUUGUCACUGGAUUUAGGUCCCACCCAGAUAAUCCAGGAUGAUGUCUUCAUCCCAAGAUCCUUAAUUAAUUACAUCUGCAAAGACCCUUGUCCAAAUAAGGCCACAUUCACAGCUUCUGAGAAUUCGAUGUGGGCAGAUCUUUAAAGGCACCAUUUUUCAACUCACUACAGCUGGUAUCUGCCAACUUACAUCUUAAACAGUUCCCUACACUGAUAUAAACUUUCCCUAAAUGAUAAGAGUGGCCCAUUAUGCCUAGAUUGUUUGUACAAUGUGGUUUAUUCUAGGCAGCUGCUUGUUCUUCUGGGUCUGGAGUUUUGGUACAUGCUAGGCAGAGAAGAUCUACAUAACCAGCCCCCAUUAAAAACACUGGCAGUGAAUCUCUUACAAAUUCCUGGUUUGAUAACAUUUCACACACAUUGUCACAAUCCAGUGUUGGAGGAUUGACACACAUCCCAUGUGACUCCCCUGAGCGAAGCUCCUGGAAGCUUGUGCCUGGUUUCCACCAGACUUUGCCCCAUGCAUCUCUUUCUUUGGCUGAUUUUGCCUUGGAUCAUCCUAGUCCUAGCUGUGAGUAUGACGAUAUGCAUAGUCUUAGGAAUCCUCCUGGUGAACCAACAGACCUGUGGGUGGUCGUGGGGACACCCGAUGCAGGGGUCUACUUAAUGAGGCACAAGGGAAGUCUUCUCAGAGAGAUGGUAUUUGAGCUGAGACCCAGGAUGGAGAUCACACAGCCCAUUUGUGAUAGGGCUGGUGUUAAAGCUCAGUUUCCUCAUCUGUAAAAUGGGGAUGUUAACAAAGUCUCAGCAGAAGAUGCACGACACUGUCAAACUGGGUUAUUGGAGGAAAAUGCAUAAAGGGAUUAGGCACGAAGGUGUGGUCAGGAUUUAAGAAAACCAACAUAGGAUGAUGCAGUACCCUUGGGCUACAAACACUGGAAAGCUGGUAACACCGUAGGCCUGAAAGGCAAGUUGAGGGAGUUGUUACCUGAAUCCAGAGAAGGCAUUUGUAUGAAGGGGACUGCCUGAUCAGAGCCAGAGAUCAUGGCAACCUGGUGAGAAGCAAGCCAGGUAAAUACGUGUUCUGACCUCACUCUCUUCUGAUCCUCUACUCUUCUGCCAGUGGUUUCCACUGGUUAAGCCCAACUAGACACCUGAAAGUAAGGAAGACAGCUAAUGAGGUCCACAGGGGUCAGCCUCCUAGGGAAUAAAGCAGGGUGGAGAAGGGCAGACAGUGGAUCUAGAGGGGAAAGGGGGAAAUACCCAGCACAGUGGUGGUGAUAGCCUCUACCUCCAUGAGGUUGUUAUGAAGUUUACAUGAGAUGAUACAUGUCAAGGGAGAACUUAGUACAUCGUCUGGAAUAAUGUGAAUGCCAGAUCACUGUUUUAUAGAUGUUGAUAAUAAAGAUGAAGAGGAAGAAGAUGAAGGGGAGGAGGAAAAGGAUGAAGAGAAGAAUAAGGAGAAGGAAGACAAGGAGGAAAAGGUGGAGGGAAAAUGAGAAAAAGAAAGAAGCCCCUUGAGAGCAAGAAUAUUUUUAUUGUACCUAAAACAAUUCCUGGCAUGUGAUAGACAAUAAAUAUGUUAAAUCAUUGCAUUAUAUAAGGGUCCUUAUAUCCAGAUUCUAAACCUUGACUCAACACAGGGAUUUGGUCUUUGAGACACAGAAUAACUGGUGGGAGUCCUUAGUCAAAACCUUAAUUUUACAGAUGUUAACUGAAAGGAAAUUACUUUCCCAAAGACACACAGUAAGUUCAAGCAAGAGCUGACAGCAAGAUCCAGAUGUUUUGAUUCCAGUCCAGUUCUCUUUAAAUACAGCCAGUCUGCCUCCAGGGAUGUCCAUCUGAUAACCCCUACAAUGUAUCCAGCAUCGAGGCUGAGAGAUGGGUUGGUCCUCGCCUAUCUCCAAAACUAUCAGAGUAAAAGGCUGGGGGUCUUCCUUCCGGGCUCACCAGCAGCUUGUUAAUCCUGGUGUUAUAGAAAUAAUACAGACCCAAUCAUGGAUCAUAGAGCUCUGGAUAGAUAUGUAGCUGCCUGUGCUCUGGCAGCACAGAACACUGGCUGUUGGGCUCAUAGCAACUGACAGACAGUGGAACUCCUUUCCAUCCCACAAGAUGCUGGGAGCAUCUUCACAUCUCUGUUUAUUUUUAAAAAGUAGGGUGGCAUUCGGGAGGCAGAGCUUGCAAUGAGCCAAGAUAGCGCCACUGCACUCCGGCCUGGGUGAAAAAGCAAGACUGUGUCUCAAAAAAAAAAAAAAAGAAAAGAAAAAAGAAAAAAA
This 6835-nucleotide long non-coding RNA is filed under the name Homo sapiens (human). RNAcentral describes it as "HSALNT0001929". Lineage: Eukaryota; Metazoa; Chordata; Mammalia; Primates; Hominidae. The record is from RNAcentral.